Molecule: ribosomal RNA, 823 nt
Filed under: uncultured bacterium
Lineage: Bacteria
Description: bacterial SSU rRNA
Rfam family: Bacterial small subunit ribosomal RNA
Source: RNAcentral
UUACACAUGCAAGUCGAACGAACUCUUCGGAGUGAGUGGCGGACGGGUGAGUAACGCGUGAGAAUCUGCCUGUGGGUCGGGGACAACCACUGGAAACGGUGGCUAAUACCGGAUGAGCCGAAAGGUAAAAAAUUUAUUGCCCACAGAUGAGCUCGCGUCUGAUUAGCUAGUUGGUAAGGUAAAAGCGUACCAAGGCGACGAUCAGUAGCUGGUCUGAGAGGAUGAGCAGCCACACUGGGACUGAGACACGGCCCAGACUCCUACGGGAGGCAGCAGUGGGGAAUUUUCCGCAAUGGGCGAAAGCCUGACGGAGCAAGACCGCGUGGGGGAGGAAGGUUUUUGGAUCGUAAACCCCUUUUGUCAAGGAAGAAGUUCUGACGGUACUUGACGAAUAAGCCUCGGCUAACUCCGUGCCAGCAGCCGCGGUAAUACGGAGGAGGCAAGCGUUAUCCGGAAUGAUUGGGCGUAAAGCGUCUGUAGGUGGCCAGCUAAGUCUGCUGUUAAAGAUCACAGCUCAACUGUGGGAAGGCAGUGGAAACUGGCAAGCUAGAGGCUGGCAGGGGUAAAGGGAGUUCCCGGUGUAGCGGUGAAAUGCGUAGAUAUCGGGAAGAACACCGGUGGCGAAAGCGCUUUACUGGGCCAGACCUGACACUGAAGGACGAAAGCUAGGGGAGCGAAAGGGAUUAGAUACCCCUGUAGUCCUAGCUGUAAACGAUGGAGACUAGGUGUAGCACGUAUCGACCCGUGCUGUAUCGUAGCCAACGCGUUAAGUCUCCCGCCUGGGGAGUACGCACGCAAGUGUGAAACUCAAAUGAAUUGACGG